RNAcentral lists this transfer RNA (74 nucleotides) under Pseudomonadota bacterium. RNAcentral's name for it is "tRNA-Pro". It matches the Rfam family "tRNA". Rfam says of the family: Transfer RNA (tRNA) molecules are approximately 80 nucleotides in length. Their secondary structure includes four short double-helical elements and three loops (D, anti-codon, and T loops). RNAcentral also lists the same sequence under 2 other names. The record is from RNAcentral. Lineage: Bacteria; Pseudomonadati; Pseudomonadota.
CGGGGCGUAGCGCAGUCCGGUAGCGCACCUGCUUUGGGAGCAGGGGGUCCCCGGUUCGAAUCCGGGCGCCCCGA